This 411-nucleotide ribosomal RNA is filed under the name Bemisia tabaci. RNAcentral's name for it is "partial 16S ribosomal RNA". Lineage: Eukaryota; Metazoa; Arthropoda; Insecta; Hemiptera; Aleyrodidae. The record is from RNAcentral.
UUUUAGAUAAAUUCUGCUCAAUGAUAAAUUUAAAUAGCUGCAGUAAAUUAACUGUACUAAGGUAGCAUAAUAAAUUGCUUUAUAAUUAAAAGCUCGAAUGAAGGAAACAAUGUGAAACAAACUUUUUAAACUAAAAAGGUAAAAAUUAAUGUUUAAGUGAAAAAUCUUAAAUUAAAUCAAAAGACAAGAAGACCCUUUAGAACUUUACAGGCUAACUCAUCUUUAUUGAAUUAACCUGUUAAGUUGGGGAGAUUUUUAAAUAAAUAAAUCUUUAAAUAUAAAAAAAUGAACUACCUCAAAUUAAAUUAUCCAAGAAUGAAACAAAACAAGUUACCUAAGGGAUAACAGCGCAAAAUUUUUGAGAAGAUCUCAUUCACAAAAUAAAUUGCGACCUCGAUGUUGGAUUAAGAA